AGCGAACGCUGGCGGCAGGCCUAACACAUGCAAGUCGAACGAACUCUUCGGAGUUAGUGGCGGACGGGUGAGUAACACGUGGGAACGAGCCGUUUGGUUCGGAAUAACUCAGGGAAACUUGUGCUAAUACCGAAUGUGCCCAUCGGGGGAAAGAUUUAUCGCCAUUAGAGCGGCCCGCGUCUGAUUAGCUAGUUGGUGAGGUAACGGCUCACCAAGGCGACGAUCAGUAGCUGGUCUGAGAGGAUGACCAGCCACACUGGGACUGAGACACAGCCCAGACUCCUACGAGAGGCAGCAGUGGGGAAUCUUGCGCAAUGGGCGAAAGCCUGACACAGCCAUGCCGCGUGAAUGAUGCAGGUCUUAGGAUUGUAAAAUUCUUUCUCCGGGGACGAUAAUGACGGUACCCGGAGAAGAAGCCCCGGCUAACUUCGUG
Molecule: ribosomal RNA, 433 nt
Filed under: uncultured bacterium
Lineage: Bacteria
Description: partial 16S ribosomal RNA
Rfam family: Bacterial small subunit ribosomal RNA
Source: RNAcentral